UUGGACAAUGGGCGCAAGCCUGAUCCAGCAAUGCCGCGUGCAGGAAGAAGGCCUUCGGGUUGUAAACUGCUUUUGUACGGAACGAAACGGUCUGGGAUAAUACCCUGGGCUAAUGACGGUACCGUAAGAAUAAGCACCGGCUAACUACGUGCCAGCAGCCGCGGUAAUACA
RNAcentral lists this ribosomal RNA (171 nucleotides) under uncultured bacterium. RNAcentral describes it as "partial 16S ribosomal RNA". It matches the Rfam family "Bacterial small subunit ribosomal RNA", at positions 364 to 527 of the family's 1533-position model. The record is from RNAcentral.